RNAcentral lists this ribosomal RNA (300 nucleotides) under uncultured Luteimonas sp. RNAcentral describes it as "bacterial SSU rRNA". The stretch from base 61 to 300 matches the Rfam family "Bacterial small subunit ribosomal RNA", at positions 554 to 795 of the family's 1533-position model. Lineage: Bacteria; Pseudomonadati; Pseudomonadota; Gammaproteobacteria; Lysobacterales; Lysobacteraceae. The record is from RNAcentral.
AGGCGAGGGUGUUGCAAGCGGCCGGGGAAGAAGAGGGGUGGCAAGGUUGUCUUGGAAGGUCUUGGCGUAAGGUGAGCGUGGUUGUUGCUUGAAGUCGGUCUGGAAGGCCCUGGGCUCAACCAGGGAGCUGCGAUGGAGACAGGGCGACUAGAGUGUGGUAGAGGGUAGCGGAAUUCCUGGUGUAGCAGUGAAAUGCGUAGAUAUCAGGAGGAACAGCCAUGGCGAAGGCAGCUACCUGGGCCAACACUGACACUGAGGCACGAAAGCGUGGGGAGCAAACAGGAUUAGAUACCGGUAGUC